AUUGAACGCUGGCGGCAGGCCUAACACAUGCAAGUCGAACGAGUGGCGGACGGGUGUGUAAUGUCUGGGAAACUGCCUGAUGGAGGGGGAUAACUACUGGAAACGGUAGCUAAUACCGCAUACCCUCAGAUGUCCCCAGAUGGGAUUAGCUUGUUGGUGGGGUAACGGCUCACCAAGGCGACGAUCCCUAGCUGGUCUGAGAGGUUGACCAGCCACACUGGAACUGAGACACGGUCCAGACGCCUACGGGAGGCAGCAGUGGGGAAUAUUGCACAAUGGGCGCAAGCCUGAUGCAGCCAUGCCGCGUGUAUGAAGAAGGACUUCGGGUUGUAAAGUACUUUCAGUGGGGAGGCGUUACCCUCAGAAGAAGCACCGGCUAACUCCGUGCCAGCAGCCGCGGUAAUUC
This 406-nucleotide ribosomal RNA is filed under the name uncultured bacterium. RNAcentral's name for it is "partial 16S ribosomal RNA". It matches the Rfam family "Bacterial small subunit ribosomal RNA", at positions 30 to 526 of the family's 1533-position model. The record is from RNAcentral.